Molecule: ribosomal RNA, 443 nt
Filed under: uncultured bacterium
Lineage: Bacteria
Description: partial 16S ribosomal RNA
Rfam family: Bacterial small subunit ribosomal RNA
Source: RNAcentral
CCUACGGGAGACAGCAGUGGGGAAUAUUGGGCAAUGGGCGCAAGCCUGACCCAGCAACGCCGCGUGAAGGAAGAAGGCUUUCGGGUUGUAAACUUCUUUUCUCAGGGACGAAGCAAGUGACGGUACCUGAGGACUAAGCCACGGCUAAAUACGUGCCAGCAGCCGCGGUAAUAAGUAGGUGGCAAGCGUUAUCCGGAUUUACUGGGUGUAAAGGGCGUGUAGGCGGGGACGCAAGUCAGAUGUGAAAACCACGGGCUCAACCUGUGGCCUGCAUUUGAACCUGUGUUGCUGGAGUGCUGGAGAGGCAGACGGAAUGCCUAGUGUAGCGGUGAAAUGCGUAGAUAUUAGGAGGAACACCAGUGGCGAAGGCGGUCUGCUGGACAGCAACUGACGCUGAGGCGCGAAAGCGUGGGGAGCAAACAGGAUUAGAUACCCCGGUAGUC